UAGUAUGCGACGGUGGCUGCCAUGUUAGCAUCCAAUCAUGUUGGGUUCCAAAUGAGUUUGAAGUGAAAGAACCUGUUCAUCCUAUCUUCUUAUCAGUAAACUGUAUCCAACAAUUCAAUCAUUUUUUCACAUACCCAUAAAGAAAAAAAGUAAGUUACAGGGUAGUAAUUUAAAACCAACUUUUUAUAGUUCAAUAAUAAGCACAGAAUGUGUC
RNAcentral lists this long non-coding RNA (214 nucleotides) under Setaria viridis. Its description in RNAcentral is "long non-coding RNA (SVIR_LNC001349)". The record is from RNAcentral. Lineage: Eukaryota; Viridiplantae; Streptophyta; Magnoliopsida; Poales; Poaceae.